ACGUCCCUGCCCUUUGUACACACCGCCCGUCGCUACUACCGAUUGAAUGGCUUAGUGAGGCCUUCGGAUUGAAAUUCGGAGACUGGCAACAGACUCUUGGUUUUGAAAAGUUGGACAAACUUGGUCAUUUAGAGGAAGUAAAAGUCGUAACAAGGUUUCCGUAGGUGAACCUGCGGAAGGAUCAUUACCGAUUUUUAGCGGACCUGAUCUUUGAUCAUGGUCUCGCGAAAACUUGUAUUUAAAACCCCACUCUUAUAAAUUGAAUCAUUUUAUAUUAUGUAUGUAAUAAAUAAAGAUCACUUUCAACAACGGAUCUCUUGGCUCUCGUAUCGAUGAAGAACGUAGCGAAGUGCGAUAAGUAAUGUGAAUUGCAGAAUUCCGUGAAUCAUCGAAUCUUUGAACGCAAAUUGCACUCUCUGGUAACCCGGGGAGUAUGCCUGUUUGAGGGUCAGUGUUAAUAAAAAUCGGUGCGUUGCAAUUUUUGUGAUGUCCCGGAGUUUGAGAUAUCUUCUCUUCUGGGUUUAAGAGGCUUAAAAUUGACCUUCUUUGUGCUUUUUAGACGUACAUAAAUUUUUUUUAUUCGUUUAUCUUAAUGCCAAAAUCUAUUAGAUGCGACCAUAUCGUGUGGUUCCGUGUCUAUAAAUUUUUCAUGAUUUGACCUCAAAUCAAGGUAGGAACACCCCCUGAUCUUAAGCAUAUCAAUAAGCGGAAAAAAAGAAAAUAACAAUGAUUCCCCUAGUAACUGCGAGUGAAGAGGGACAAGCUCAAAUUUUAAAUCUAUCGGGUUUUACCUGAUCGAGUUGUAAUUUGAAGAAGCGUUUUGCGUAUUUGGUCAGCCCAAGUCCUAUUGAAGAGGCAUCAUGGAGGGUGAUAAUCCCGUCCGGUUGAUCAUUGCGUUUUACGAACGCUUUCUAAGAGUCAAGUUGUUUGGGAUUGCAGCUUAAAAUGGGAGGUAAAUUUCUCCUAAGGCUAAAUACGGCGAGAGACCGAUAGCGAACAAGUACCGUGAGGGAAAGAUGAAAAGAACUUUGAAAAGAGAGUUAAACAGUACGUGAAAUUGUUGAAAGGGAAACGAUUGAAGCCAGUCGUACCUUCGGGUAAUCAGCCUUUCGGGUGCGAUUCUGUGGAGUGUGAGGAGCUUAAACACCUUCAUGUUUUGCAUAUUCGUACUCUUGGGUGUACUUGCCCGUGUGGUUGGUUAACAUCAAUUUUGGUGGUCAUAAAAUGACUGGGGGAAUGUAGCUUCGAUCUUGUAUUGAAGUGUUAUAGCCUUCGGUAGAUGUGAUGAUCGAGAUUGAGGAUUGCAACGGAUAC
Molecule: ribosomal RNA, 1314 nt
Filed under: Rhizophagus irregularis
Lineage: Eukaryota; Fungi; Glomeromycota; Glomeromycetes; Glomerales; Glomeraceae
Description: eukaryotic LSU rRNA
Rfam family: Eukaryotic large subunit ribosomal RNA (bases 656-1314)
Source: RNAcentral